UAGGGAAUCUUCGGCAAUGGACGAAAGUCUGACCGAGCAACGCCGCGUGAGUGAAGAAGGUUUUCGGAUCGUAAAACUCUGUUGUUAGAGAAGAACAAGGACGUUAGUAACUGAACGUCCCCUGACGGUAUCUAACCAGAAAGCCACGGCUACCUACGUGCCAGCAGCCGCGGUAAUACGUAGGUGGCAAGCGUUGUCCGGAUUUAUUGGGCGUAAAGCGAGCGCAGGAGGUUUCUUAAGUCUUGUGUGAAAGCCCCCGGCUCAACCGGGGAGGGUCAUUGGAAACUGGGAGAAUUGAGUGAAGAAGAGGAGAGUGGAAUUCCAGGUGUAGCGGUGAAAUGCGUAGAAAUAUGGAGGAACAACAGUGGAGAAGGGGGAUCACUGGUCUGGAACUGACGCUGAGGCUCGAAAACGUGGGGAGCAAACAGG
Molecule: ribosomal RNA, 429 nt
Filed under: Chloroflexota bacterium
Lineage: Bacteria; Bacillati; Chloroflexota
Description: Chloroflexi bacterium partial 16S ribosomal RNA
Rfam family: Bacterial small subunit ribosomal RNA
Source: RNAcentral